RNAcentral lists this transfer RNA (72 nucleotides) under Sphaerodactylus townsendi. RNAcentral describes it as "tRNA-Gly". It matches the Rfam family "tRNA". Rfam says of the family: Transfer RNA (tRNA) molecules are approximately 80 nucleotides in length. Their secondary structure includes four short double-helical elements and three loops (D, anti-codon, and T loops). Further hydrogen bonds mediate the characteristic L-shaped molecular structure. tRNAs have two regions of fundamental functional importance: the anti-codon, which is responsible for specific mRNA codon recognition, and the 3' end, to which the tRNAs corresponding amino acid is attached (by aminoacyl-tRNA synthetases). tRNAs cope with the degeneracy of the genetic code in two manners: having more than one tRNA (with a specific anti-codon) for a particular amino acid; and 'wobble' base-pairing, i.e. permitting non-standard base-pairing at the 3rd anti-codon position. Lineage: Eukaryota; Metazoa; Chordata; Lepidosauria; Squamata; Sphaerodactylidae. The record is from RNAcentral.
AGGGGUGUGGCUUCAUGCUAGAGCAUCUGCUUGCCAAGUAGAAGGUCCCAUGUUCAAUCCCUAGCAUCUCAU